GAAAGUAACAAUUAUUGUAAUAACUUGCAUUUAUUGCCCUUUUAGCUGUGUGCCCUGUGUGAAUGCUUCACUGACACCAGCUCACUUAAUCCUCUCAUCAACCCUAAGGGCAAGAGCAUCCUGACUGAUGACCCUACCCACGCGGGAUGGCCGGAUGCAGCAUUACGUCCCACUGUGGGAAGAUCCUGGAGGACAGUGACGGAGGGAAAUCAUUCCAGCAGGCAGAACUUGAGCAGUUCACCAGGUCAUCUGUCCUGCCUGGAAGGAGAGAUGGCUAGAAGUGUGGGUUUACGUCCGUUCAUGGGCUGUGGCUAAUGGUUGUUUGGCUGGAUGGUCAGGGACUUAGAAGAACCGUGACUGGGAAAUUCGUGGCAAGGCGAUCUGGGGAACAUGUGGACAAAUAGAUUUCUCUGAAUGGAAAUAGGGUGUGAUCUCAGCACAGGAAGACUUUAAUAAUCAGGUAGAUAGAAUGAGUCAUUCCAUGGUUGUCAGUCAGCCUGCUUCCCCAGCCACUCCAGCCAUUGUCCAGUGUCAGUGGCGAAGGCUAUGCAUAGGUCAGCAACAUGGACUUCCACUCACCAAGGCUGAUCUGGCUGUAGCCAUGGCCGAGUGCCCAGUCUGCCAGCACCAGAGGCCGACACCCUGAUACAGCACUAUUCCCCAGUGUGGUCAGUUACCCGGUGACAGAUCCAUAACACUGGGCCCCUUCCACCAAGGAGGGGGCAGAGUAUUGUUCUUAUGAGAACACUUAUUCUCAUUAUGACUCCGCCCUUCCUGCCCACACUACUUUUGCCAAAACUACCAUCUGUGGACUUCCAGAGUGCCUUAGCCGCCGUCAAGGUAUUCCACACAGCAUCAGGUCUGACCAGAAACUCAUUUCACUGCAAAUGAAGUGAGACAAUUGGCUUGUACUCAUGGAACUCACUGGCCUUAGCAUAGUCCGCAUUACCCAGAAAGAGCUGGCUUGAUAGAAUUGUGGACUGGCUA
Non-coding RNA from Vicugna pacos (alpaca), 987 nucleotides. Lineage: Eukaryota; Metazoa; Chordata; Mammalia; Artiodactyla; Camelidae. The record is from RefSeq and is a predicted model, not a curated record.